UACGGAGGGUGCAAGCGUUAUCCGGAUUCACUGGGUUUAAAGGGUGCGUAGGUGGGCAGGUAAGUCAGUGGUGAAAUCUCCGGGCUUAACCCGGAAACUGCCAUUGAUACUAUCUUUCUUGAAUACCGUGGAGGUGAGCGGAAUAUGUCAUGUAGCGGUGAAAUGCUUAGAUAUGACAUAGAACACCAAUUGCGAAGGCAGCUCACUACACGAAUAUUGACACUGAGGCACGAAAGCGUGGGGAUCAAACAGG
This 253-nucleotide ribosomal RNA is filed under the name uncultured bacterium. Its description in RNAcentral is "partial 16S ribosomal RNA". It matches the Rfam family "Bacterial small subunit ribosomal RNA", at positions 524 to 776 of the family's 1533-position model. The record is from RNAcentral.